RNAcentral lists this ribosomal RNA (330 nucleotides) under Vibrio alginolyticus. RNAcentral's name for it is "bacterial SSU rRNA". It matches the Rfam family "Bacterial small subunit ribosomal RNA", at positions 1 to 317 of the family's 1533-position model. Lineage: Bacteria; Pseudomonadati; Pseudomonadota; Gammaproteobacteria; Vibrionales; Vibrionaceae. The record is from RNAcentral.
AAAUUGAAGAGUUUGAUCAUGGCUCAGAUUGAACGCUGGCGGCAGGCCUAACACAUGCAAGUCGAGCGGAAACGAGUUAUCWGAACCUUCGGGGGACGAUAACGGCGUCGAGCGGCGGACGGGUGAGUAAUGCCUAGGAAAUUGCCCUGAUGUGGGGGAUAACCAUUGGAAACGAUGGCUAAUACCGCAUGAUGCCUACGGGCCAAAGAGGGGGACCUUCGGGCCUCUCGCGUCAGGAUAUGCCUAGGUGGGAUUAGCUAGUUGGUGAGGUAAGGGCUCACCAAGGCGACGAUCCCUAGCUGGUCUGAGAGGAUGAUCAGCCACACUGGA